AUUGAACGCUGGCGGCAUGCUUUACACAUGCAAGUCGAACGGCAGCGCGGGCUUCGGCCUGGCGGCGAGUGGCGAACGGGUGAGUAAUACAUCGGAACGUGCCCAGUAGUGGGGGAUAGCUCGGCAAAAGCCGGAUUAAUACCGCAUACGACCUGAGGGUGAAAGCGGGGGAUCUUCGGACCUCGCGCUAUUGGAGCGGCCGAUGGCAGAUUAGCUAGUUGGUGGGGUAAAGGCCUACCAAGGCGACGAUCUGUAGCUGGUCUGAGAGGACGACCAGCCACACUGGGACUGAGACACGGCCCAGACUCCUACGGGAGGCAGCAGUGGGGAAUUUUGGACAAUGGGCGAAAGCCUGAUCCAGCAAUGCCGCGUGUGUGAUGAGGGCCUUCGGGUUGUAAAGCACUUUUGGCGGGAACGAAAAGGACUGUGCCAAUACCACGGUUCGAUGACGGUACCCGCAGAAUAAGCACCGGCUAACUACGUG
This 484-nucleotide ribosomal RNA is filed under the name uncultured bacterium. RNAcentral describes it as "partial 16S ribosomal RNA". It matches the Rfam family "Bacterial small subunit ribosomal RNA", at positions 29 to 507 of the family's 1533-position model. The record is from RNAcentral.